This 550-nucleotide ribosomal RNA is filed under the name uncultured archaeon. Its description in RNAcentral is "bacterial SSU rRNA". It matches the Rfam family "Archaeal small subunit ribosomal RNA", at positions 326 to 876 of the family's 1478-position model. The record is from RNAcentral.
CGGGGUGCACCAGGCGCGAAAACUUUACAAUGCUGGCAACAGCGAUAAGGGGACCUUGAGUGCCAGGAUACAAUCCUGGCUGUCGUGAUGCCUAAAAAGCAUUAUAUAGCAAGGGCCGGGCAAGACCGGUGCCAGCCGCCGCGGUAACACCGGCGGCUCGAGUGGUAACCGCUAUUAUUGGGUCUAAAGGGUCUGUAGCCGGCUUGGUUAGUCUCUUGGGAAAUCCGGCAGCUUAACUGUCGGGCUUUCAGGAGAUACUGCCAGGCUCGAGACCGGGAGAGGUGAGAGGUACUUCAUGGGUAGGGGUGAAAUCUUGUAAUCCUUGAAGGACCACCAGUGGCGAAGGCGUCUCACCAGAACGGAUCUGACGGCAAGGGACGAAAGCUAGGGGCACGAACCGGAUUAGAUACCCGGGUAGUCCUAGCCGUAAACGAUACUCGCUAGGUGUCGGCCACGGUGCGACCGUGGUCGGUGCCGUAGGGAAGCCGUGAAGCGAGCCACCUGGGAAGUACGGCCGCAAGGCUGAAACUUAAAGGAAUUGGCGGGGGAG